UCUCUGGUGGUCCAGAGGCUAAGACUCUGCACUCCCAAUGCAGGGGUCCCGGAUUUGAUCCCUGGUCAAGGAA
This 73-nucleotide transfer RNA is filed under the name Capra hircus (goat). It matches the Rfam family "tRNA". From Rfam's summary of the family: Transfer RNA (tRNA) molecules are approximately 80 nucleotides in length. Their secondary structure includes four short double-helical elements and three loops (D, anti-codon, and T loops). Further hydrogen bonds mediate the characteristic L-shaped molecular structure. tRNAs have two regions of fundamental functional importance: the anti-codon, which is responsible for specific mRNA codon recognition, and the 3' end, to which the tRNAs corresponding amino acid is attached (by aminoacyl-tRNA synthetases). tRNAs cope with the degeneracy of the genetic code in two manners: having more than one tRNA (with a specific anti-codon) for a particular amino acid; and 'wobble' base-pairing, i.e. permitting non-standard base-pairing at the 3rd anti-codon position. The record is from Rfam by way of RNAcentral. Lineage: Eukaryota; Metazoa; Chordata; Mammalia; Artiodactyla; Bovidae. RNAcentral also lists the same sequence under 1 other name.